Molecule: long non-coding RNA, 535 nt
Organism: Triticum dicoccoides
Lineage: Eukaryota; Viridiplantae; Streptophyta; Magnoliopsida; Poales; Poaceae
Exons: 2
Source: RefSeq, a predicted model, not a curated record
CCCUACUCCCCCGUCGGCUCGGUCCUGCCAGCCCCUGCACCAGCGCACGCCCCGACGGCUGGCAACCCAUGGGAGACGCCGGCGCUCCAGCAUGCCCUCCUCUCGAUGCAGCAGCAACCCUACUCGGGGGGAGGCGAUUGGUUCCUUGACACAGGCGCAUCUUCACACAUGGCUGCCCAUCCCGGAUCUGCAUUCCGGGACGGUGGUGCUCCGAUGUGACAGCCCCGACGAGCUCUACCCGCUUCGCAUCGCGCCUCACACCACCGCGACUGCCCUCCUCGCCGACACAACCAGCUCCACGCUCUGGCAUGCCCGCCUCGGCCAUCCCGGGCACGCCGCUUUAUCUAGGGUUUUAGCUACCUUUCCUUUCAAAUGUAAUAAAGUGCACGAACACUCAUGCCAUGCUUGUCAGCUAGGAAAACAUACUCGACUUCCUUUUCCGGAAUCCUCCCAUGUUGCUCCCUCUCCCUUUCAUACAUUGCAUUGUGACGUCUGGACAUCUCCGGUUGUGAGUAAUUCAGGUUUUUCUUUCUUU